Molecule: unclassified non-coding RNA, 370 nt
Filed under: soil metagenome
Description: partial contains 5.8S ribosomal RNA, internal transcribed spacer 2, and large subunit ribosomal RNA
Rfam family: 5.8S ribosomal RNA (bases 1-120)
Source: RNAcentral
GAUGAAGAACGCAGCGAAAUGCGAUAAGUAAUGUGAAUUGCAGAAUUCAGUGAAUCAUCGAAUCUUUGAACGCACAUUGCGCCCGCCAGCAUUCUGGCGGGCAUGCCUGUUCGAGCGUCAUUUCAACCCUCGAGCCCGACUUCCUUGCGGAGGACGGCUCGGCGUUGGGGGACGGCACACUCCCCCCGGCUCGCCGGGGACGCCGCCCCCGAAAUUCAGUGGCGGCCCUCGGAGGCGACCUCUGCGUAGUAACUCAACCUCGCAAAGGGAAGCUCCGAGCGGCCACGCCGUGAAACCCCAACUAUAUCAAGGUUGACCUCGAAUCAGGUAGGACUACCUGCUGAACUUAAGCAUAUCAAUAAGCGGAGGA